CCUUAGUCUGCUGUCUCCCUCGGAGCUGCCGGUCCUCAUCUCUGAGCUUGCAGACUCGCAGAUUGCAUCCUGAGUGAGAAGAGGCUGGACUCGGAGUUGUCGCCUUGAGCCUUGCUUCUGAGAACUUCCAGGUACUUUGUAUAACCACUGUCACAGAAGCUGUGUGUUUUCAGCACCUUUGUAAGCGAUGGCUGCUAUCAGGAAGAAACUGGUAAAUGUUGGUGAUGGAGCUUGCAGUAAGACAUGCUUGCUCAUAGUCUUCAGCAAGGACCAAUUCCCAGAGGUUUAUGUGCUCGCAGUGUUUGAAAACUAUGUGGCAGAUAUCCAAGUGGAUGGAAAGCAGGUGGAGUUGGCUUUGUGGGACACAGGAAGAUUAUCAUCGCCUGAGGCCUCUCUCCUACCCAGACACUGACGUUAUACUGAUGUGUUUCUCCAUCGACAGCCUUGAUAGUUUAGAAAACAUCCCAGAAAAAUGGACUCCUGAAGUCAAGCAUUUCUGUCCCAAUGUGCCCAUCAUCCUGGUUGGGAACAAGAAGGAUCUUCGGAAUGAUGAGCACAAAAGACAAGAGUUAGCCAAAAUGAAGCAGGAGCCGGUAAAACCUGAAGAAGACAGAGAUACGGCAAACAGGACAGGCGCUUUGGGGUACAUGGAGUGUCCAGCAAAGACCAAACAUGGAGUGAGAGAGGCGUUUGAAAUGGUCACGAGAGCUGCUCUGCAAGCCAGAUGUGGGAAGAAAAAAUCUGGGUGCCUCAUUUUGUGAAGCCUUGUGCAAGCACAGCCCUCGUGCGGUUAAUUUUGAAGUGCUGUUUAUUAAUCUUAGUGUAUGAUUACUGGCCUUUUCAUUUAUCUAUAAUUUACCUAAGAUUACAAAUCAGAAGUCAUCUUGCUACCAGUAUUUAGAAGCGAACCAUGACUAUUAAUGAUAUCCAACCUGUCUGCCU
Non-coding RNA from Peromyscus maniculatus bairdii (prairie deer mouse), 942 nucleotides. The record is from RefSeq and is a predicted model, not a curated record. NCBI's taxonomy places the organism in Eukaryota, Metazoa, Chordata, Mammalia, Rodentia, Cricetidae.